AGGAAGGAAAGCUUGCUUUUCUGAAUCUAGUGGCGAACGGGUGAGUAACACGUAGGUAACCUGCCCAUGUGCCCGGGAUAACUUCUGGAAACGGAUGCUAAAACCGGAUAGGUAGCAGACAAGCAUUUGACUGCUAUUAAAGUGGCCUUGGCCAUGAACAUGGAUGGACCUGCGGUGCAUUAGCUGGUUGGUGAGGUAACGGCCCACCAAGGCGACGAUGCAUAGCCGGCCUGAGAGGGCGGACGGCCACAUUGGGACUGAGACACGGCCCAAACUCCUACGGGAGGCAGCAGUAGGGAAUUUUCGUCAAUGGGGGGAACCCUGAACGAGCAAUGCCGCGUGAGUGAGGAAGGUCUUCGGAUCGUAAAGCUCUGUUGUAAGAGAAAAACGGCACUCAUAGGGAAUGAUGAGUGAGUGAUGGUAUCUUACCAGAAAGUCACGGCUAACUACGCGCCAGCAGCCGCGGUAAUACGUAGGUGGCGAGCGUUAUCCGGAAUGAUUGGGCGUAAAGGGUGCGUAGGUGGCAGAUCAAGUCUGGAGUAAAAGGUAUGGGCUCAACCCGUACUGGCUCUGGAAACUGAUCAGCUAGAGAACAGAAGAGGACGGCGGA
Molecule: ribosomal RNA, 610 nt
Filed under: uncultured bacterium
Lineage: Bacteria
Description: bacterial SSU rRNA
Rfam family: Bacterial small subunit ribosomal RNA
Source: RNAcentral